RNAcentral lists this ribosomal RNA (471 nucleotides) under uncultured bacterium. RNAcentral's name for it is "partial 16S ribosomal RNA". It matches the Rfam family "Bacterial small subunit ribosomal RNA", at positions 355 to 819 of the family's 1533-position model. The record is from RNAcentral.
UAGGGAAUCUUCCACAAUGGACGCAAGUCUGAUGGAGCAACGCCGCGUGAGUGAAGAAGGCUUUCGGGUCGUAAAACUCUGUUAUUGAAGAAGAACGUGUGUGACAGUAACUGGUCAUGCAGUGACGGUAUUCAAUCAGAAAGUCACGGCUAACUACGUGCCAGCAGCCGCGGUAAUACGUAGGUGGCAAGCGUUGUCCGGAUUUAUUGGGCGUAAAGCGAGUGCAGGCGGUCUUUUAAGUCUGAUGUGAAAGCCUUCGGCUUAACCGAAGAAGGGCAUCGGAAACUGGGAGACUUGAGUGCAGAAGAGGAGAGUGGAACUCCAUGUGUAGCGGUGAAAUGCGUAGAUAUAUGGAAGAACACCAGUGGCGAAGGCGGCUCUCUGGUCUGUAACUGACGCUGAGGCUCGAAAGCGUGGGUAGCAAACAGGAUUAGAUACCCUGGUAGUCCACGCCGUAACGAUGAAUACUAA